GAGUCUAAGUCAGUGCACUUAUGGAGUGCUGUCCGGUGAGCUGCCGAGGCUUGUUGUGGGCAAAUUAGAGGAAUCGAGGUCGAUCCUGCGAAAAAAAAAAAGAAGAAAAAAACAGAGAAAAAAACAAUACAAGAAACGCCUGAGCCGAAAAAAAAGAAAUCAAAUGGUUAGGUGGAAUGAUGACUGCCAAGGGGCAUGGAAAGAAAAAAUGAGUAGCAGGAACCUCUGAUUCUGAUACCUUUCUUGGAAGAAACGAUUGUUAAUCUGGUACUU
This 273-nucleotide long non-coding RNA is filed under the name Lathyrus oleraceus (garden pea). RNAcentral describes it as "Pisum sativum (pea) long non-coding RNA (PSAT_LNC004920)". Lineage: Eukaryota; Viridiplantae; Streptophyta; Magnoliopsida; Fabales; Fabaceae. The record is from RNAcentral.